This 830-nucleotide ribosomal RNA is filed under the name uncultured archaeon. RNAcentral describes it as "bacterial SSU rRNA". It matches the Rfam family "Archaeal small subunit ribosomal RNA", at positions 21 to 861 of the family's 1478-position model. The record is from RNAcentral.
AGAGAAAUGCAAUUGGGACCGAUGCCUGCGAGUCGAGAGGGUUCGGCCCUCGGCGAACUGCUCAGUAACACGUGGAUAAUCUAACCUUAGGUGGAGCAUAACCUCGGGAAACUGAGAAUAAUACUCCAUAGAUCUUUGAGGCUGGAAUGCGCUUAGAUUGAAAGCUUCGGCGCCUAAGGAUGAGUCUGCGGACUAUCAGGUAGUAGUCAGGGUAAAGACCUGACUAGCCUACGACGGAUACGGGUUGUGAGAGCAAUAACCCGGAGAUGAUAUCUGAGACACGAUAUCAGGCCCUACGGGGCGCAGCAGGCGCGAAAACUUCACAAUGCGCGAAAGCGCGAUGAGGGGAUCCCAAGUGCUUGCACGUAAGUGUAAGCUGUUUUUCUGUCUAAAAAGCAGAGAGAGUAAGGGCUGGGUAAGACGGGUGCCAGCCGCCGCGGUAAUACCUGCAGCUCAAGUGGUGGCCGCUAUUAUUGGGCCUAAAACGUCCGUAGCCGGCUGAGUAAAUGCCUGGGUAAAUCGUGUGGCUUAACCAUACGAAUUCCGGGUAGACUGCUCAGCUUGGGACCGGAAGAAGUUAGAGGUACUCCUGGGGUAGGGGUGAAAUCCUGUAAUCCUGGGGGGACCACCAGUGGCGAAGGCGUCUAACUAGGACGGGUCUGACGGUGAGGGACGAAGCCCUGGGGCGCAAACCGGAUUAGAUACCCGGGUAGUCCAGGGUGUAAACGCUGCUUGCUUGAUGUUAGCUGGGCUCCGAGCUCGGCUAGUGUCGGAGAGAAGUUGUUAAGCAAGCUGCCUGGGAAGUACGGUCGCAAGACUGAAACUUAAAG